UUUGUUUUACUUGACAACCAUUUGGUAGCUGUUUGUAUUACUUCCAGUUUCUGAAUUUUAGCAGCUAAUGUUGCCUUUUUUCUCUUCCUUCCCGAAAGGAGUAAUCACUUCAUAAUAGAGUUUGUAACUUUACAUAAUAGGAGUUGGCUCAUGAUUUUGCAGGGGGUUACGUAUGGUAGUGUAUUUACUUAAUUUUUUUUUUUUUUUUGAGAAUACCUUGAAGCUUUGAGGAUUUUAUUUACAGUGUUUUAUCAAAUUAUUACCCAUUGAAGUACGGUUUUCUGGAAACUUGCAAAAUUGAAAGAUUGGUUUUUGAUAGGCCCCUUGUAAAUUAUGGCUGGAGGAGCAAAAAUGACCUAAAAUUCAUGAAAAAAUGUGGGACUUCAUCCAAUUAUAGUCACUUACCAAUAACAAAAGUUGCCUAAAGCAUGGUUAUGUAACUAGUUUGAUAUGGGAAGUUGAGUUGCCAAGCAGCCUGGGGAAGUUGUCGCUGGCCUGCAAUGGGCUAUAAUGGGCUGCAGAAGCAAGCCUAGGAAUCUGGCCAGCUUGGAGGAGUCUGCUGGGGAGGCUGUGGGUUAGAACUGGAAACAGCCUACUGAUGAGGAUGACACCCUUACCAGCAUGUUCCUGUCACAAGCCCAAGGAGAGUGGAACAUUCAGCAGAGGACUUUACCCGCAGGGCCAUGCUGUGAGAUGACGGCAAAGGGAGUCUGUUGCUGAUUCUUGAGGACUGUGAAACCCAUCUUGAAGAUUCUCUUGCCAGUGAUGUGAUGGAUACAGUGGACGGGGAGGAGCUGGAUGUAUAUUUUCAUGGUGUAAGGUUUGGGUUGCUAACUACCUCUGAUUCAGGAAGAAAAGAAGCCAGGCAGCUAUGGCAGCUCCAAGGUGCUGCUGGCAUUGUCCCAAAUAUUGCUGGGAAGUUGGGUGAGGUUGAUGGUUUUUCUUGGCUGAACCCCACUACGUUAAUGGUGGAGAUGCAUUUCUUGGCUUUACAACUGACGCUGUCUCUCUCAUGUAUGUAG
Molecule: long non-coding RNA, 1022 nt
Filed under: Canis lupus familiaris (dog)
Lineage: Eukaryota; Metazoa; Chordata; Mammalia; Carnivora; Canidae
Description: lncRNA (ENSCAFG00000050939.1)
Source: RNAcentral